Gossypium raimondii (Peruvian cotton) is the source of this 123-nucleotide non-coding RNA. The record is from Rfam. NCBI's taxonomy places the organism in Eukaryota, Viridiplantae, Streptophyta, Magnoliopsida, Malvales, Malvaceae.
AUUUGAAGAAUGAUAAAUUAUAUUUCUCCUUCUGAUUUUUAGCUUUUUCCUCUUAAAAAAAUUCAAAUCCAACUAAAAAUGCUAAAAGUGAGGAGGAAAAAUCUGAUUUUUCAUUCUCCUAUU